Molecule: ribosomal RNA, 443 nt
Filed under: uncultured bacterium
Lineage: Bacteria
Description: SSU rRNA
Rfam family: Bacterial small subunit ribosomal RNA
Source: RNAcentral
AGAACGAACGCUGGCGGCAUGCCUAACACAUGCAAGUCGAGCGCCCCGCAAGGGGAGCGGCAGACGGGAGAGUAACACGUGGGAACGUACCCUUCAGUUCGGAACAACCCAGGGAAACUUGGGCUAAUACCGAAUACGUCCGUAAGGAGAAAGAUUUAUUGCCGAAGGAACGGCCCGCGUCCGAUUAGCUAGUUGGUGAGGUAACGGCUCACCAAGGCGACGAUCGGUAGCUGGUCUGAGAGGAUGACCAGCCUCACUGGGACUGAGACACGGCCCAGACUCCUACGGGAGGCAGCAGUGGGGAAUAUUGGACAAUGGGCGCAAGCCUGAUCCAGCCAUGCCGCGUGGAUGAUGAAGGCCUUAGGGUUGUAAAGUCCUUUUAACGGGGAAGAUAAUGACGGUACCCGUAGAAUAAGCCCGGCUAACUUCGCGCCAGCAGCCGC